This 161-nucleotide small nuclear RNA is filed under the name Oncorhynchus tshawytscha (Chinook salmon). RNAcentral's name for it is "U1 spliceosomal RNA". It matches the Rfam family "U1 spliceosomal RNA". From Rfam's summary of the family: U1 is a small nuclear RNA (snRNA) component of the spliceosome (involved in pre-mRNA splicing). Its 5' end forms complementary base pairs with the 5' splice junction, thus defining the 5' donor site of an intron. Lineage: Eukaryota; Metazoa; Chordata; Actinopteri; Salmoniformes; Salmonidae. The record is from Rfam by way of RNAcentral.
UAACUUACCUGGCAAGGGAGACACCGUGACAAGAAGGCGGUUCACCCAGGGCGAGGCUCAGCCAUUGCACUCCGGCUGUGCUGACCCCUGCGAAUUCUCAAAUGUGGAAAUCCGAUUGAAUAAUUUCUGGUAGUGGGGGACUGCGUUCGCGCUCUCCCCUG